GCCCUCGUAGUUCAAUGGAUAGAACAGGGGCGUUCUAAGCCCUUGAUGUGGGUUCGAUUCCUACCGAGGGCG
Molecule: transfer RNA, 72 nt
Filed under: Candidatus Sungiibacteriota bacterium
Lineage: Bacteria; Candidatus Sungiibacteriota
Description: tRNA-Arg
Rfam family: tRNA
About the family: Transfer RNA (tRNA) molecules are approximately 80 nucleotides in length. Their secondary structure includes four short double-helical elements and three loops (D, anti-codon, and T loops). Further hydrogen bonds mediate the characteristic L-shaped molecular structure. tRNAs have two regions of fundamental functional importance: the anti-codon, which is responsible for specific mRNA codon recognition, and the 3' end, to which the tRNAs corresponding amino acid is attached (by aminoacyl-tRNA synthetases). tRNAs cope with the degeneracy of the genetic code in two manners: having more than one tRNA (with a specific anti-codon) for a particular amino acid; and 'wobble' base-pairing, i.e. permitting non-standard base-pairing at the 3rd anti-codon position.
Source: RNAcentral